Nelumbo nucifera (sacred lotus) is the source of this 2850-nucleotide non-coding RNA. The record is from RefSeq and is a predicted model, not a curated record. NCBI's taxonomy places the organism in Eukaryota, Viridiplantae, Streptophyta, Magnoliopsida, Proteales, Nelumbonaceae.
GCAUUAUUGCAUUUCGGUCCACAUUUCCAUGUGUUUGGAAACAGUGUAAAAAUACCUCUAUUAUCGAUGUAAAUUUGCAAACAUCCUCGAGUUUACAUCGAUAUGAGAGUGGAAAACUGCGUCGAUUUUUUCGGAGUAAAAAUUUAGGCAAUGAGUUUACCUUCUCUUCUUCCAUCGAGGGAAAUAAGCAAUGAGUUUACCUUCAUCCACCGCAUGGUGGUCUGAGUAACGACUAUUUUCCCAUUUCCCAUUCUCGGAUUUGAGAUCUGAGGAGUCUGAAACGUCCACCGGCUUCCUUCUGAGAUCUGAGGAGUCCGAACCGGCUAUUUUACCCUCAUCCAUUGCAGCUUCUGAAAUCUAAAGAGUCGCACCGAAAUGGCUAUUUACCCUCAUCCAUAGCAGCUUCUAAGAUCUAAGGAGUCCAACCAAAACGUCUCUUUAGGACAAGGGAUGUGCACAUACUGCUGCUCCAUAGAGCUAAAGUCAACAAAUGAGUUAAUUCUUGUCCUUAUCCCCAACAUAUUCAUUCUGGAUGAUCCAAGAAAGAAAAAUACAUGGUGAAUGGGUGGGGCCACCUUGAUUUUUUGUUGGGUCUUAGCAAUGGUAUGAUGUUUAUUAAUGUCUAUUUUAUUAUUGUGAGAAUAAUCAUUAUCUCACUUCUUUCUAGCAUGUUGUUCAUAAUGCAUGAAAAUUGACAAUUUCUUCUUUUUUUGGUGGAAUCUAAACUGUAGUCUCCUCCAUUAAUUUGCCUUUAUUUGCUUAUUAUGUACAUCCACCAAUCUAGUAAAAACUUAUUAGUAGGAUUUCAGUCCAGCAACCUCUUUGAGCAUAAAGUUACAUCAUCUAAAGCUACCAAUCUCUUUUUCUUUUGUCCCAACCUCUCACCACAACCGGUAUCUGGUCUUGCAACAGAGAUGGGGACUUUUCUUAUGUACACUCUCUUACUGUAUUAGGUUCUCAUUGAUUUUCCCGGUAGCCUGCUUGUAUUUUUUUUUCAUCCAUCAGUAAAUUAAUUACUUUAUCUUUUUCAAAAAAAAAAAGUCUACAAAGAUUGAUAUUUCAAGUCCCCUGAACAAUACUCUAUCUUCAAUUUUUUGUUUCUAUCUCUUUCCAUUCAAUUUUUGGAGGUCUUCCAAGUGGCUCAUGGGCAGGUUGGAAGAGUUGCUAUUUAAUAGUCAAAAGGUCUUAAAAUUUUGUAUGAUAACAAUCUAACACUUUUUAUAUUGGUGUAAGUUUCCAAAUGCCAACAAAAUCACACCGAUUGUUUUGCAUCUUGGUGCCAAAUGUGAAGAGCAUAAAUCAAACAUACAAAAGCAAACCGGUGGAAUGCUAAUUUACACUAUGCAAAUUUGUAUUUACCUUCUUUCCAAACGCAACCUUAAGAACUUUUCUUAUAAAAUUACAGUUGUUCCUUGUUAUAUUCAGCUGUUAAGGGGUAUUUUGAUCAUUUUGUAUUGUUUUGUAUUCUAGGACUGAAACUAGUGUUAAUCAAACCAAUAACAUUCAUCUCCCUCUCUCUCUCUCUUCCUCCUUCUCUUUCUCUCUUUGAAACCUUUAUCAAAGAGACAAAGCACAAAGCAAGUAAGAGCUCAUAUCAAAACCCAAAUUGAACAAACACAGUAGGGAAAUAAAUGCAAUGAUCUAUCAAACCCAUUGCCUUCGUUCCUCCAAAUUUUACUCAUUCUCCUUUGAUUGGUUCUAAAAGCAAGUGCACCUUUGUUGUAGAGAACCCACAAAUGAAUUGGUAAACGUGAAAUAUAAACUUCUAUUUUCUGGUGGUAGAAUUACUUUUUGGAAAAAUGCUAAAGAAAAACUGGAAAAAAAAAGAGUAAAAAAAUCUAUUCAAGAAAGACAUUAAUCAUUAAAGCUUCCUCAAAGUUUCUCAUAUAGCUCAUUUAAUGGAAAAUACGCGUACGGACUAAAUGUUGGGUAUAUAAAAAAUCCCAUAGAAGUCAUCUUUAAUGUUCAAAGUUCAAACAUUAGCAACCUUUAUGCUAAUUCCACCACUAGAAAUAAUUGUUACUUAGGGUCUGUUUGAUUGCUGAGAAAGGGAUGAGAAAAGGGAAUAUUCCCGAAUGAUUCUCUCUUUCUUAUGUUUGUUUACUGGUAAACAGUGUUUUGGGAUGAGAAAUUAGAGGGAUGCGGGAUCCCAAAAUUUAGUGAGCGGGAUCGCACCAUUUUGGUGCGACCCCAGUGAGAAAAGAAAGGCUAAGAAAAUCUAUCGGGUUUGUCAGAGCAAGAGGUCGACAAGCUCGUCUCCCCUUCGAAGCUGCUGUUCCAACUGCCAUAUCUCCGGUAGAUUCUCCGGCCAUCUCUGUGGAAGGAACAGCGGAAGGCUGAACACCGCCCCUUCUCAGCAAGGAGUGUUUUCUUUCUGAUGUCAUUGUUGAUCCGAGCCAAAAUCUUGAGAUAAAAAAACCAUCUUCUCUCUUUGAAUCGAAGAAAUGGGGAUUUUGAUGAUUAUAAAUAGAAAUGGGGAUUUUGGGUAUGUUAGAAGGUUAAAUGUAGUUAGAAAUUAUUCAUGUGCUUAGGGUAUUUUUGAUGGUUUGAGUUGUGAUGGUAUAAGGUGCUUGUUUAUGAAAUCGAUGGGAGAUAUUUGGGUUUGGAUUCAUUUUGUUUGGAUUCAUUUUAUUGCAGGUAUAAGAUAUUUGGGUUUUGUUUUUUUUUCUCUAAAGAAUGAUGUUAUUAUCUGUUUAUGUGAUUUUAUUCAUUUAUUUGUUGUUCUGCUUUUUUGCUUUUCUCCAACAUAGGAUUUGAGUAUUUCUAAUCAAGGCGCACUUAGUGGAGUUUGUAACACUUAUUUCUUAUCAUUCUAAAAGCACCUUAGCACUUUUUUUUUGGGGGGGGAUU